RNAcentral lists this ribosomal RNA (253 nucleotides) under uncultured bacterium. Its description in RNAcentral is "partial 16S ribosomal RNA". It matches the Rfam family "Bacterial small subunit ribosomal RNA", at positions 524 to 776 of the family's 1533-position model. The record is from RNAcentral.
UACGUAGGGUGCAAGCGUUGUCCGGAAUUAUUGGGCGUAAAGAGCUCGUAGGCGGUUUGUCGCGUCUGCUGUGAAAACCCGAGGCUCAACCUCGGGCCUGCAGUGGGUACGGGCAGACUAGAGUGCGGUAGGGGAGAUUGGAAUUCCUGGUGUAGCGGUGGAAUGCGCAGAUAUCAGGAGGGACACCAAUGGCGAAGGCAGAUCUCUGGGCCGUAACUGACGCUGAGGAGCGAAAGCAUGGGGAGCGAACAGG